AACGCGAAGAACCUUACCUGGCCUUGACAUGCUGGUAGUAGGAGCCUGAAAGGGUAACGACUCAUCGUAAGAUGAGAGCCAGCACAGGUGCUGCAUGGUUGUCGUCAGCUCGUGUCGUGAGAUGUUGGCUUAAGUGCCGCAACGAGCGCAACCCCUGUGUUUAGUUGCCCGCGCAAGCGGGAUCUCUAAACAGACUGCCUCGCUUUAAACGAGGAGGAAGGUGGGGAUGACGUCAAAUCAGUAUGGCCCUUACGGCCAGGGCUGCACACGUGCUACAAUGCAUGGUACAGAGGGACGCAAGACCGCGAGGUGGAGCAAAUCCCACAAAACCAUGCCCAGUUCAGAUUGAAGGCUGCAACUCGCCUUCAUGAAGCCGGAAUCGCUAGUAAUGGCGCAUCAGCUACGGCGCCGUGAAUACGUUCCCGGGCCUUGUA
Molecule: ribosomal RNA, 434 nt
Filed under: uncultured Verrucomicrobiota bacterium
Lineage: Bacteria; Pseudomonadati; Verrucomicrobiota
Description: bacterial SSU rRNA
Rfam family: Bacterial small subunit ribosomal RNA
Source: RNAcentral